AUCCCAUAAUGAGGACACUUACGAAGUAACUCCUUGAAUCGCUACCAAGCUUCAUACAAAGACUUGUCAUAUAAUUGUUGGAAAGUUGUGAUCUCAUUCCUCAACUU
RNAcentral lists this small nucleolar RNA (107 nucleotides) under Gossypium arboreum. RNAcentral's name for it is "Plant small nucleolar RNA R71". It matches the Rfam family "Plant small nucleolar RNA R71". Rfam says of the family: R71 is a member of the C/D box family of snoRNAs containing the C (UGAUGA) and D (CUGA) box motifs. Multiple nearly identical copies of this snoRNA have been identified in Arabidopsis, and it is thought to function as a 2'-O-ribose methylation guide for 18S ribosomal RNA. The record is from Rfam by way of RNAcentral. Lineage: Eukaryota; Viridiplantae; Streptophyta; Magnoliopsida; Malvales; Malvaceae.